This 415-nucleotide unclassified non-coding RNA is filed under the name Hevea brasiliensis (rubber tree). The record is from RNAcentral. Lineage: Eukaryota; Viridiplantae; Streptophyta; Magnoliopsida; Malpighiales; Euphorbiaceae.
AUGAGACAAUGAAUACACAGUUGUCUUUAAACUAAGCUGCAGAAACUUGUGCGCGCAAGUAGACAGCUGCAUAUACGUGACCAGCAUCAUCGAUGAUCCAGCCUACUCGGUAAAACCUUUGCUGUAAAAUGAUAGAUACAGUUGAACUAUACAAGAAGAACACAAGCCUUGACCUUUAAACUGGAGACGAAUAGGCCGUGACGAAUAACAGCACCAUUUUCCAGAUUGAUAUUUAUAAUCCAAUCUGCUUCAUCCAUAAAGACCACUUAACAGCCUCAAGAAACUUAUCAUUUUUCCGUAAUGCAUUGAUUAGGUUAGUGUAGGUUAUUCGAUCAGGUUCAAUUCCAUUUUCGCGCAUUUCCUUGACCAAAUCUACAGCACGUUCAACCAUUCCAGCAAUUCCAUAAGCCUUUAU